GGAUGUGAGGGCGAUCUGGCUGCGACAUCUGUCACCCCAUUGAUCGCCAGGGUUGAUUCGGCUGAUCUGGCUGGGUAGGCGGGUGUCCCCCUCCUCCCUCACUGAUCCAUGUGCGUCCCUCCCGAAGCUGCGCGCUCGGUCGAAGAGGACCACCUCCCCCCCACCCCCCCAGGAGAGGACCAGUCUUCGGUCAAGGGUAUACGAGUAGCUGCGCUCCCCUGCUAGAACCUCCAAACAAGCUCUCAAGAACCAACCAACGAAUGCACAAAUAACUGGAAUGACAAAUCAAUGUUUCUCUCUCUU
This 303-nucleotide small nuclear RNA is filed under the name Myotis brandtii (Brandt's bat). Its description in RNAcentral is "7SK RNA". It matches the Rfam family "7SK RNA". From Rfam's summary of the family: 7SK was discovered as an abundant small nuclear RNA in the mid-70s but a possible function has only recently been suggested. Two independent studies have found that 7SK RNA binds the CDK9/cyclin T complex (known as elongation factor P-TEFb). The record is from Rfam by way of RNAcentral. Lineage: Eukaryota; Metazoa; Chordata; Mammalia; Chiroptera; Vespertilionidae.